UGUAUGUCUUUACGUGCAGAUUCUGAACGCAUAGUAUCACAGCACAGACUUUCUGCCGUGGACCAGUGGAGAAUAUUUGCCUUUUUAUUACACGAUGGCUGCCGAAACGCUGUGAUGUCUCUGAUGUGCAACCCAUUUUCAAGAUGUCUUUUUUAGGGAUUACACGUGGCGAGAGGCGCUCAGUCAAAGGGCGAGUGGGCUGGUGAAAUAGACGAAUUUCUUAUCGUUCAGGGGAACUGGCACCGAUGGCUUCCUCCCCAAAGUUGAGAAAUCGGAAGGAUGCCAAUUCCUGGCCGAGAAUGUCCUCAACUUUCUGGGCUGUGGUGCUAUUGACCAGCUUGCUGAUCAUCUACUGCGGUCAGCUGGCGGCGGGGACGUGCGAGAUCGUCACGCUGGACCGGGACAGCAGUCAGCCGCGGCGGACCAUCGCACGGCAGACGGCGCGCUGCGCGUGUAAACGGGGGCAGAUCGCCGGGACAACGAGAGCCAGGCCGGCCUGUGUGGACGCGCGCAUCGUGAGGACCAAGCAGUGGUGCGAGAUGAUGCCCUGUUUGGAGGACGAAGGCUGUGACCUGUUAGUGAACAAGUCUGGGUGGACCUGUACGCAGCCCGGGGGCAGAGUGAAGACAACGACGGCCCUCUGACGUGCCGGAGGUCCCAUUCAAACACACACAAACAUGGAGGAGAGACUAGCAUACCUGACAGAGAGCGAAAACCAACCACUUGUCAAGAACAGACAUGAAAAAAAACAACAAACUGCAAACCACAGCGGGCCUUAACAACACUACAAGGUGUCCUGACGGCAGCAGCGACAGAGACCCCCGUGGUGAGGUGCAGUCCGGACGCCGCGACCGCCGUGACCGCCGCUUCCCAUUGUUCGUCUCCACCGCUCGGCUCAACGCAUCCGUCCGUCUGUCUGUCUGCAUUGUAACUGGACAGCGCCCC
Megalops cyprinoides (Indo-Pacific tarpon) is the source of this 945-nucleotide RNA transcript. It is a transcript of the gene named chemokine-like protein TAFA-5, with no coding region annotated. NCBI's taxonomy places the organism in Eukaryota, Metazoa, Chordata, Actinopteri, Elopiformes, Megalopidae. The record is from RefSeq and is a predicted model, not a curated record. The transcript is spliced from 5 exons.